UGUAAAAUAAUAUAAGACUAGUAUAAUUCAUUUACACUGAAUGUGUCAGACAAUGUCUGUUUUACUU
Molecule: transfer RNA, 67 nt
Filed under: Mytilus coruscus
Lineage: Eukaryota; Metazoa; Mollusca; Bivalvia; Mytilida; Mytilidae
Description: tRNA-Val
Source: RNAcentral